CUAUUUGCGUUGAAACCCCGGAUCUCGUGUGAUCACCGAAGUUAAGCAACAUUGUGUCUGAGCAGUACUUAAAUGGGUGACCGCAGGAGAAUAUCAGAUGCUGUAAG
Non-coding RNA from Acanthosepion pharaonis, 107 nucleotides. Lineage: Eukaryota; Metazoa; Mollusca; Cephalopoda; Sepiida; Sepiidae. The record is from the annotation of a GenBank genome assembly.